UUUGGAAUUUGCAUGGGUGAUGGUACUAGAAUGGUUGAAUCAUGGAGAGCAAGUUGAGAGACCAGAGACCAUCGUAUCCAAAAGAUGCACCGAGAGUUGGACCACAACACGUGGAACUCUCCACAGAACACAAGAGGAUGUUUAUUUUCCUUGAGGUUUUUAAUAUCCAGAGGAUUAAAAACAGCAUGCUGAACAAGGGAGAGAGCUCAUCCUGCAAGCGGGCAGAGGCGAGGGCAUGAAGAUGUACAACUGUCCCAAGUGUGAAUUGAGUACACAGACCCCCACCCCCCCCAGGACCUGCCGUUUUUUAUCCCGCUGAAGGAGAGCGGCGAGAGUCAUCACCGAUGCUUCAACAUGCCUAUAGAUGUAGGUACAUCAUCAUUUACUCCGAGCAGCACACUGAGCAACAAACACAAGAACCAUGGGAAAUAAGAUAAAAAAGUGGAAAGGACAAUGAAUAUACUUUGAAAAACCUGUUUUACCAACAGUGUGAUAACAGAACUGCUUCCAUUCAAUACCAAAAUAAGGUCUCAGAUUUUCUGAUAUAUGGACACCUUGCUGUUUAUA
This 567-nucleotide long non-coding RNA is filed under the name Lepisosteus oculatus (spotted gar). RNAcentral's name for it is "lncRNA (ENSLOCG00000022567.1)". The record is from RNAcentral. Lineage: Eukaryota; Metazoa; Chordata; Actinopteri; Semionotiformes; Lepisosteidae.